CCUACGGGUGGCAGCAGUGGGGAAUUUUCCGCAAUGGGCGAAAGCCUGACGGAGCAACGCCGCGUGAAGGAAGAAGGCUUUCGGGUUGUAAACUUCUUUGACAGGGGAAGAGCAGAAGACGGUAGCCUGAAAACAAGCCACGGCUAACUACGUGCCAGCAGCCGCGGUAAUACGUAGGUGGCAAGCGUUGUCCGGAUUUACGGGGUGUAAAGGGCGUGUAGCCGGGAAGGCAAGUCCGAUGUGAAAUCUGGGGGCUCAACCUCCAAUUUGCAUUUGAAACUGUUUUUCUUGAGUACUGGAGAGGCAGACGGAAUUCCUGGUGUAGCGGUGAAAUGCGUAGAUAUAAGGAGGAACACCAGUGGCGAAGGCGGUCUGCUGGACAGCAACUGACGGUGAGGCGCGAAAGCGUGGGGAGCAAACAGGAUUAGAUACCCGUGUAGUC
This 442-nucleotide ribosomal RNA is filed under the name uncultured bacterium. Its description in RNAcentral is "partial 16S ribosomal RNA". It matches the Rfam family "Bacterial small subunit ribosomal RNA", at positions 338 to 795 of the family's 1533-position model. The record is from RNAcentral.